This 405-nucleotide ribosomal RNA is filed under the name Enterococcus faecium. Its description in RNAcentral is "bacterial SSU rRNA". It matches the Rfam family "Bacterial small subunit ribosomal RNA", at positions 1129 to 1533 of the family's 1533-position model. The record is from RNAcentral. Lineage: Bacteria; Bacillati; Bacillota; Bacilli; Lactobacillales; Enterococcaceae. RNAcentral also lists the same sequence under 1 other name.
AGUUGGGCACUCUAGCGAGACUGCCGGUGACAAACCGGAGGAAGGUGGGGAUGACGUCAAAUCAUCAUGCCCCUUAUGACCUGGGCUACACACGUGCUACAAUGGGAAGUACAACGAGUCGCGAAGUCGCGAGGCUAAGCUAAUCUCUUAAAGCUUCUCUCAGUUCGGAUUGUAGGCUGCAACUCGCCUACAUGAAGCCGGAAUCGCUAGUAAUCGCGGAUCAGCACGCCGCGGUGAAUACGUUCCCGGGCCUUGUACACACCGCCCGUCACACCACGAGAGUUUGUAACACCCGAAGUCGGUGAGGUAACCUUUUGGAGCCAGCCGCCUAAGGUGGGAUAGAUGAUUGGGGUGAAGUCGUAACAAGGUAGCCGUAUCGGAAGGUGCGGCUGGAUCACCUCCUUU